UCGGUGUUCUCGGAGCGGUGA
Molecule: unclassified non-coding RNA, 21 nt
Filed under: Chlamydomonas reinhardtii
Lineage: Eukaryota; Viridiplantae; Chlorophyta; Chlorophyceae; Chlamydomonadales; Chlamydomonadaceae
Description: small RNA Cre_2732
Source: RNAcentral